Long non-coding RNA from Dalotia coriaria, 614 nucleotides. RefSeq lists it as uncharacterized. The transcript has 2 exons. NCBI's taxonomy places the organism in Eukaryota, Metazoa, Arthropoda, Insecta, Coleoptera, Staphylinidae. The record is from RefSeq and is a predicted model, not a curated record.
CGAUUUGCGUAAAUCACGUAUAUAAACUUAAUUUGAAAACAACACGGUAAAACGGCGACAAAUCGCCGUCGGUCGUGGGUUUUUUUCGGUAUUGCACUCAAGUGGCCGUUGUGCACCUGUCUUGAAUAUAUAAAAGGACUCCCGCGAACUUUUCGCCACACAGAGAAACAGAAUCGCUCAAAAGCAACUUCCCUCGAAAAGUCAGUGUUUUGAAGAAAUAUAAUCAAAAUGUCGAAAGCUUUGAUUAUAUUUGCUUUGCUGGUACUUUGUGCAGCGUGCACAUUGGCAACACCACUUUUCGGUAUUGGUUUCGGUGGAUAUGGACAUCAUCAUGGUUAUCAUGGACAUCACCACCAUCACUAUCCACACCACCAUCAUCACGGAUAUCAUGGGUAUGGACAUGGAUACCACGGGCAUGGCUAUGGACAUCACCAUCACCAUUGGUGAAGUCUGAUAUUUCCCAAAUUCAAAAUGCAAUUAUUGCGCGUUUUAGUUAAUAUAAGUCAAAUAUAUUGUAUAUUUUAUCUAUAAUGUGAACAUCGUGGCCAGUAUAUAUCAAUGUUUUUAAAUCUCAUAAUUCUAUGCUAUUAAAAUAUAAAUGAACGCAAACGAUA